Molecule: ribosomal RNA, 505 nt
Filed under: uncultured bacterium
Lineage: Bacteria
Description: partial 16S ribosomal RNA
Rfam family: Bacterial small subunit ribosomal RNA
Source: RNAcentral
GACGAACGCUGGCGGCGUGCCUAAUACAUGCAAGUCGAACGCACAGUUUAUACCGUAGCUUGCUACACCAUAGACUGUGAGUUGCGAACGGGUGAGUAACGCGUAGGUAACCUGCCUGGUAGCGGGGGAUAACUAUUGGAAACGAUAGCUAAUACCGCAUAAUAUUAAUUAUUGCAUGAUAAUUAAUUGAAAGGUGCAAUUGCACCACUACCAGAUGGACCUGCGUUGUAUUAGCUAGUAGGUGAGGUAACGGCUCACCUAGGCGACGAUACAUAGCCGACCUGAGAGGGUGAGCGGCCACACUGGGACUGAGACACGGCCCAGACUCCUACGGGAGGCAGCAGUAGGGAAUCUUCGGCAAUGGACGAAAGUCUGACCGAGCAACGCCGCGUGAGUGAAGAAGGUUUUCGGAUCGUAAAGCUCUGUUGUAAGAGAAGAACGGGUGUGAGAGUGGAAAGUUCACACUGUGACGGUAUCUUACCAGAAAGGGACGGCUAACUACGUG